This 315-nucleotide unclassified non-coding RNA is filed under the name plant metagenome. RNAcentral's name for it is "partial contains 5.8S ribosomal RNA, internal transcribed spacer 2, and large subunit ribosomal RNA". The stretch from base 1 to 105 matches the Rfam family "5.8S ribosomal RNA", at positions 50 to 154 of the family's 154-position model. The record is from RNAcentral.
GAACUGCGAUAAGUAAUGUGAAUUGCAGAAUUCAGUGAAUCAUCGAGUCUUUGAACGCACAUUGCGCCCCCUGGCAUUCCGGGGGGCAUGCCUGUCCGAGCGUCAUUGCUGCCCAUCAAGCCCGGCUUGUGUGUUGGGUCGUCGUCCCCCCCGGGGGACGGGCCCGAAAGGCAGCGGCGGCACCGUGUCCGGUCCUCGAGCGCAUGGGGCUUUGUCACCCGCUCGACUAGGGCCGGCCGGGCGCCAGCCGACGUCUCCAACCAUUUUUCUUCAGGUUGACCUCGGAUCAGGUAGGGAUACCCGCUGAACUUAAGC